Non-coding RNA from Capra hircus (goat), 72 nucleotides. The record is from the annotation of a RefSeq genome assembly. NCBI's taxonomy places the organism in Eukaryota, Metazoa, Chordata, Mammalia, Artiodactyla, Bovidae.
UCCCUGGUAGUCCAAUGGUUAAGACUUGGCACUGUCACUGCCAGGGCCCAGGUUCAGUUCCUGGUCGGGGAA